GUGCCAGCAGCCGCGGUAAUACGAAGGGGGCUAGCGUUGUUCGGAAUUACUGGGCGUAAAGGGCGCGCAGGCGGUCAACCAAGUCAGAUGUGAAAGCCCCGGGCUCAACCUGGGAACUGCAUUUGAGACUGGAUGACUUGAGUUCGGGAGAGGAGAGCGGAAUUCCCAGUGUAGAGGUGAAAUUCGUAGAUAUUGGGAAGAACACCGGUGGCGAAGGCGGCUCUCUGGACCGAUACUGACGCUGAGGCGCGAAAGCGUGGGGAGCAAACAGGAUUAGAUACCCUGGUAGUCC
Molecule: ribosomal RNA, 292 nt
Filed under: uncultured bacterium
Lineage: Bacteria
Description: partial 16S ribosomal RNA
Rfam family: Bacterial small subunit ribosomal RNA
Source: RNAcentral